Molecule: ribosomal RNA, 492 nt
Filed under: uncultured bacterium
Lineage: Bacteria
Description: partial 16S ribosomal RNA
Rfam family: Bacterial small subunit ribosomal RNA
Source: RNAcentral
AGUGAACGCUGGCGGUAGGCCUAACACAUGCAAGUCGAACGGCAGCACAGUAAGUGCUUGUUCUUACGGGUUGCGAGUGGCGGACGGGUGAGGUAUACAUCGUAAUCUACUUUUUCGUGGGGGCUAACGUAGGGAAACUUACGCUAAUACCCCAUACGCCCUACGGUUUUAAGCAGGGGAUCUUCGCAUCUUGCGCGAUUGAGUGCGCGGACGUCGGAUUUGCUAGUUGGCGGGGUAAAGGCCCACCAAGGCGACGAUCCGCAGCUGGUCUGAGAGGAUGAUCAGCCGCACUGGAACUGAGACACGGUCCAGAGGCCUACGGGAGCCGGCAGGGGGGAAUAUUGGAGAAUGGGCGCGAAACUGAUCCAGACGGGCCGAGUGGGGGAAGAGGGCCUUCGGGUUGUAAAGGACGUUUGUUGGGAAGGAAAAGCAGCAGGGUAAGACAGAGGUGAUAUGACGGUACCCAAAAGAUAAGCACCGGCUAACUUCGUG